AUGUCUAAGUCAGAGUCUCUUAAUGAGCCCGAACAGCUGUGGAAGCUUUUCAUUGGAGGGUUGAGCUUUGAAACGACUGAUGAGAGUCUGAGGAGCCAUUUUGAGCAAUGGGGAACGCUUACAGACUGCAUGGUAAUGAGAGAUCCAAACACCAAGCACUCCAGGGGCUUUGGGUUUGUCACAUACGCCACUGUGGAAGAGGUGAUGCAGCAGUGAACGCAAGGCCACACAAAGUGGAUGGAAGAGUCGUGGAACAAGAGAGAGCUGUUUCCAGAGAAGAUUCUCAAAGACCUGGUGCCCACUUAACUGUGAAAAAGAUCUUUGUUUGUGGCAUUAAAGAAGAUACUGAAGAACAUCACUUAAGAGACUAUUUUGAACAGUAUGGGAAAAUUGAAGUGAUUGAAAUCAUGACUGACCGAGGCAGUGGCAAGAAAAGGGGCUUUGCUUUUGUUACAUUUGAUGACCAUGAUUCUGUGGAUAAGAUUGUCAUUCAGAAAUACCAUACUGUGAAUGGCCACAACUGUGAGUAAGGAAAGCCCUGUCAAAUCAAGAGAUGGCUAGUGCUUCGUCCAGCCAAAGAGGUCGAAAUGGUUCUGGAAACUUUGGUGGAGGUCAUUGAGGUAGUUUUGGUGGAAAUGACAACUUUGGCCGUGGAGGAAACUUCAGUGGUCAUGGUGGCUUUGGUGGCAGCCGUGGUGGAUAUGGUGGCAGUGGGGAUUGCUACAAUGGAUUUGGUAAUGAUGGUGGUUAUGGAGGAGGCAGCCCUGGUUACUCUGGAGGAAGCAGAGGCUAUGGAAGUGGUGGACAGGGUUAUGGAAACCAGGGCAGUGGCUACAGCAGGAGUGGUAGCUAUGACAGCUAUAACAAUGGAGGAGUUGGAGGCGGCUUUGGUGGUGGUAGUGGAAGCAAUUUUGGAGGUGGUGGAAGUUACAAUGAUUUUGGCAAUUACAACAAUCAGUCAUCAAAUUUUGGACCCAUGAAGGGAAGAAAUUUUGGAGGCAGAAGCUCUGGCCCUUAUGGUGGUGGCAGCCAAUACUUUGCCAAACCAUGAAACCAAGGUGGCUGUGGUGGUUCCAAUAGCAGCAGUAGAUGUGGCAGUGGCAGAAGGUUUUAAUUAUUCCCAGGAAACAAAGCUUAGCAGGAGAGGAGAGCCAGAGAAGUGACAGGGAAGCUACAGGUUACAACAGAUUUGUGAACUCAGCCAAGCACAGUGGUGGCAGGGCCUAGCUGCUACAAAGAAGACAUAUUUUAGACAAUACUCCUGUGUAUGGGCAAAAAACUCGAGGACUGUAUUUGUGACUAAUUGUAUAACAGGUUAUUUUAGUUUCUGUUCUGUGGAAAGUGUAAAGCAUUCCAGCAAAGGGUUUUAAUGUAGAUUUUUUUUUUUUGCACCCAUGCUGUUGAUUGCUAAAUGUAAUAGUCUGAUCAUGAUGCUGAAUAAAUGUGUCUUUUUUUUU
RNA transcript from Nycticebus coucang (slow loris), 1457 nucleotides. It is a transcript of the gene named heterogeneous nuclear ribonucleoprotein A1-like, with no coding region annotated. The transcript has a single exon. NCBI's taxonomy places the organism in Eukaryota, Metazoa, Chordata, Mammalia, Primates, Lorisidae. The record is from RefSeq and is a predicted model, not a curated record.